This 451-nucleotide ribosomal RNA is filed under the name uncultured bacterium. Its description in RNAcentral is "partial 16S ribosomal RNA". It matches the Rfam family "Bacterial small subunit ribosomal RNA", at positions 354 to 796 of the family's 1533-position model. The record is from RNAcentral.
GUGGGGAAUAUUGGACAAUGGGGGGAACCCUGAUCCAGCCAUGCCGCGUGUGUGAAGAAGGCCUUUUGGUUGUAAAGCACUUUAAGUGGGGAGGAGGCUUACCUGGUUAAUACCUAGGAUAAGUGGACGUUACCCACAGAAUAAGCACCGGCUAACUCUGUGCCAGCAGCCGCGGUAAUACAGAGGGUGCGAGCGUUAAUCGGAUUUACUGGGCGUAAAGCGCGCGUAGGUGGCUAAUUAAGUCAAAUGUGAAAUCCCCGAGCUUAACUUGGGAAUUGCAUUCGAUAAUGGUUAGCUAGAGUAUGGGAGAGGAUGGUAGAAUUCCAGGUGUAGCGGUGAAAUGCGUAGAGAUCUGGAGGAAUACCGAUGGCGAAGGCAGCCAUCUGGCCUAAUACUGACACUGAGGUGCGAAAGCAUGGGGAGCAAACAGGAUUAGAUACCCCAGUAGUCC